CCUACGGGAGGCAGCAGUGGGGGAUAUUGCACAAUGGGGGAAACCCUGAUGCAGCGACGCCGCGUGGGUGAAGAAGCGCCUCGGCGCGUAAAGCUCUGUCAGCAGGGAAGAAAAUGACGGUACCUGGAGAAGAAGCCCCCGCGAACUACGUGCCAGCAGCCGCGGUAAUACGUAGGGGGCAAGCGUUAACCGGAUUUACUGGGUGUAAAGGGGGCGCAGACGGCGAUGCAAGCCAGGAGUGAAAGCCCGGGGCCCAACCCCGGGACUGCUCUUGGAACUGCGUGGCUAGAGUGCAGGAGGGGUAAGUGGAAUUCCUGGUGUAGCGGUGAAAUGCGUAGAUAUCAGGAGGAACACCGGUGGCGAAGGCGGCCUGCUGGACUGCAACUGACGUUGAGGCCCGAAAGCGUGGGGAGCAAACAGGAUUAGAUACCCGUGUAGUC
This 440-nucleotide ribosomal RNA is filed under the name uncultured bacterium. RNAcentral describes it as "partial 16S ribosomal RNA". It matches the Rfam family "Bacterial small subunit ribosomal RNA", at positions 338 to 795 of the family's 1533-position model. The record is from RNAcentral.